Molecule: non-coding RNA, 23 nt
Filed under: Cricetulus griseus (Chinese hamster)
Lineage: Eukaryota; Metazoa; Chordata; Mammalia; Rodentia; Cricetidae
Source: RNAcentral
AACAAGGUGAGGACUGGAGAAAA